CCGUGGGUAGCCUUAUGUACGCCAUGGUCUGCACGAGGCCAGACAUCGGUUAUGCUGUAGGAGUCGUGAGUAGAUUCCUAUCAAAUCCAGGAAAAGAACACUGGAGUGCUGUGAAAUGGAUACUGAGGUAUCUAAAAGGAACUGCCAAAAAGUGCUUAUGUUUUGGCAAUGGAAAUCAAAUGCUCGUUGGAUAUGUAGAUGCUGAUAUGGCCGGAGAUAUAGAUUCAAGAAAAUCUACAUCUGGAUAUUUGAUUACUUUUGCAGGGGGAGCUGUCUCAUGGCAAUCUCGACUACAAAAGUGCGUUGCUUUAAGUACCACAGAAGCAGAGUACAUCGCAAUCACUGAAGGCUGUAAGGAGAUGAUGUGGAUGAAGAAGUUCCUGCAAGAGUUAGGCCAGAAUCAAGAAAUUUAUGUUCUCUAUUGUGAUAGUCAAAGUGCAAUUCACCUCAGCAAGAAUUCGACAUACCAUUCAAGGUCAAAACACAUCGAUGUGAGGUAUCAUUGGAUUCGUGAUGUGUUGGAGAAUAAACUGCUGCAAAUAGAGAAAAUUCACACCAAUGACAACGGAGCAGAUAUGAUGACAAAAGCUCUACCAAAAGAGAAGAUAGAGUUUUGUAAACAAGCUGCAGGCUUGGCAGCAACCCCAAACUAAUCUAAGGAUAGUUUCCCUUUGGCUGGAGGGGGAGAAUUGUUGGUUUCCAGCCACAAUAGUAACAAUAAUGCAUCAAUGGGAAAUGUUGAAUUUUUCUCCACUAGCAUGCCUAUGAAUAAUAGCUUGCGGUGGUAAAAAUUCUACCAUGUCAGUAACAAAUUGACAAACUUGGCAAUUGGUAACUAUUGUCAAAGAUGGUGCAGCAAGGAUUGGAAAAUAAGAACCAAGCAUUUAAUGCACACGGUUCAAAACCCUCUAUAAAUAGAGAAGAGUUUCAGCAAUGAAACACACCACAACACAAUCCUCACUCACAUAGAGUUGAGAGAAAAAUAGAGAGUUCCUCAUAAGAGUGUGAGAGAAAAAUAUAGUGAGCCAAUUUGUGAGAGUUGUAUCUACAAAUUGAGAUACAUAGUUAGGUCCACCUGAGGGUGAAGAUUUGUAUUCCCAUUAUUAUUAUAGUGGAGAUUUAAGAGGCCUACGGGUCCCGUGGUUUUUCCUUACUCACAUUGAGAAGGUUUUCCACGCUAAAAUUUUGUUGUGUCAUUUUACGUUUCCGCUAAAGUGCCUAUUUUGAGUUCACGGAGGAGGGAAAUUAUGCAGGCAUUUCCCAACAGUGGUAUCAGAGCACUCGUUGCUCUGGGACUAUGAGUUUUCGUAUAUGCAAGAUAAUUCUUAAUAUGCUCUGUGGCUGCAACAUUGUUUGAUCUUCCACAUCAGAAAAGAAAUUUCUUGUCGCUAGAAAUAAAGUGAGGUAGUGAUAUAUUGCAUGUCUAGGAGUUCUGGCAAGGAAAGACUUGGUAUUUAAGCGUGUCUAUUGACCCACCUUUCUUACCUGGGAACUUUCAUGGUGCACUAUUCACGAACUCAUAUUUAUUCUAGUAUACGAUACUAGUCACACUUGUUAAAGAAAUUAUUUCCUGUGUAACUCAAGAUGGAGGGUGCAAUCAGCCAUGAUGGUGAUAUGUUCAAGCUAACUGCUGACAAUUACACAUAUUGGAAGCCAAUGAUGGAAGACCACUUGUAUUGCAAAGACUUUCAUGAGCCAAUCACCCAAAAAGAUAAACCCUAGAAGAAGACCGCUACGGAAUGGGAGACGGAGAAUCGAAAAACAGUGGCUAUGAUCCGAAAAUACAUUGAUCGAAGCUUGUUCGAGCAUGUAUCAACUGAUACCAAUGCGUAUGAGUUAUGGACGAAGCUUGAAUCAUUGAUUCAAAAGAAGACGCCGAGAAAUAAAGCACACCUUGUUAGAAGACUGGUGAAGUUAGAGUACUCAGACGGUCAAAAUAUGAUCGAGCAUUUAAACACCUUCAAAGGUAUUGUAAAUCAGUUGACAAAAACAGAAAUGAAGAUAGAUGACGAGUUGCAAACACUUCUACUUCUCAGUUCCUUACCUGAGAGUUGGGACACUUUAGUUGUCACUCUCAGCAAUUCUGCUCCAGAUGGAAAACUUAGCAUGGAUUCAGUCACUGACUGCCUGUUAAAUGAAGAGUCAAGACGAAGGGAAAGAGGCUUGAACAAUUAGUUCGAAGCCAACGUCAUUGACAACAGAGGAAGGAGCAAGAACCGUGAAAAAGGUGGUCGUGAAAAAUCACGAGGCAGAUCAAAGACUCGCACUAAACUAAGUUGUUAUUACUGUGGAAAACCAGGCCAUAGAAAGUUUGAGUGCAGAUUCUUCAAGAGAGAUCAGCAGGCUGGAACGAUCCAUCCCGAUAUAAUCGAUUCAAAGAAGAAAGAAGAAGGAACCACGACAGCAGUCGUAGCAACUAACGAGAAUUUCUUUCUCGUUGAAGAUGAAAAUUAUCUAAAUGUAGCGUCUGAUGACUGCAUUUGGAUAAUUGACUCAGGAGCAUCCUUUCAUGUAACCCCUCAUGAAGAAUUUUUCUCAUCAUAUCAAAAAGGAGACUUUGGUAUGGUGAAGAUGGGCAAUCAUGUCACAAGCAAGAUUGUUGGCAUUGGCGAGGUGACUCUGGCUACAGAUAAUGGCUCUAAGCUCGUGUUGAAGGAGGUUAGACAUGUUCCAGACAUGCGUCUAAAUCUUAUCUCGACAGGAAAAUUAGAUGAUAUUGGUAUGAUAAACCAAUUUGGAGAUGGCAGAUGGAAGCUUAGUAAAGGAAGCAUGAUCAUUGCUCGUGGUAAAAAGGAAGGCUCUCUGUAUGUUAUGCAGGGAAAGAUAAACAAGGGAGAUAUCAAUGUAUCUCAAGGCAUGAGCAAAGAAUUGUGGCACAAACGACUUGGCCACAUGAGUGAGAAAGGUUUGGAGAUUCUUGCUAAGAAUCAUCUUCCAAACAUCAAGGGUCAACCACUUGAAUCCUGUGAAGAUUGUCUAGCAGGCAAACAACACAGAGUAUCUUUUCAAAGAUCGGAUGAUGCAAAAAGAAGAAAGCAUAUCCUCGAUCUUGUUCAUUCAGAUGUUUGCUCUACAUCUGAAAGGUCCCUUGGUGGUUCACAAUACUUUGUUACCUUCAUUGACGAUCACUCUAGAAAAGUGUGGGUGUAUCCAUUGAAGAAGAAAGAUCAAGUUCUUCAGGUUUUCAAAGAAUUUCAUGCCUCUGUAGAACGGGCAUCUGGAAGAAAACUGAAAUGUCUAAGGACAGAUAAUGGUGGAGAGUAUAUAGGCACAUUUGCAGCCUACUGUAAAUCUCAUGGAAUAAGACAUGAGAAGGUACCUCCUAAAACUCCUCAGAUGAAUGGAGUAGCUGAAAGGAUGAAUAGAACGAUUGCAGAGAAAGUCAGAAGCAUGCUUUCUCAAGCAAAACUUCCCAAAUUAUUUUGGGGUGAAGCAGUGAGAACUGCAGUUGAUUUGAUUAAUUUGUCUCCUUCAAGACCUUUAAAUGGAGAGAUACCAGAUGAAGUAUGGUAUGGAAAGAAAGCCUCCUAUGGUCAUUUGAGAGUCUUUGGAUGCAGGGCAUUUGUGCAUGUUCCAAAAGAUGAAAGAGCAAAGCUAGAUGCUAAGACGAAGGAGUGCAUAUACCUUGGUUCACCAAGAGAUGAACUUGGCUUUAGAUUAUGGGAUCCUGCUACUAAGAAGAUGGUUCGAAGCAGAGACGUGGUAUUCUAUGAAGAUCAGACGAUCCACGACAUUCAAUCUAAAAAGCCAAAGACCAUUGUGGUGCACAAUUCAGGGGGAGAGAUUCCUCAGAUGAAUUACGAUCAUGAUCAGCUAACAGAACCAAAUCAGAUGGAGGAGCCUGAUCAGAUAGAACAAAAUCAAGCAAUGCAUGAAGAGCAGAUGGCAUAUGAUGAUGUUGAUGUUGAGAUGGAACAAGAACCUCAAUUGAGAAGAUCAACGAGAUCUAGACAACCAUCAAAAAGAUACUUCUCAGGUGAAUAUGUAAAUUUCACUGAGGAAGGGGAACCUCAAAGCUUCAUGGAAGCUAUAGAGACAACCAAUAAGGAAAAAUGGUUACAAUCCAUGGAAGAAGAGAUGAAAUCCCUAAAGGAGAAUGAGACGUAUGACCUGGUAAAAUUACCAGAUGGAAAGAGGGCAUUGAAAAAUAAAUGGGUGUUCAAACUCAAGUCUGAAGAGAACAACCCAAACCCCAAGUACAAAGCACGAAUUGUUGUGAAGGGGUGCCAUCAAAAGAAAGGCAUUGAUUUUGAAGAAAUAUUCUCACCGGUGGUGAAGAUGACAUCCAUUAGAGCAAUCCUUGGUCUAGCUGCAAAACUAGACUUAGAGAUAGAACAACUUGAUGUUAAAACAGCAUUCUUGCAUGGAGACCUAGAGGAAGAAAUCUAUAUGGAGCAACCUAAAGGUUUCGUUGAACCAGGCAAAGAACACCUUGUGUGUCGCUUGAAGAAAAGUUUAUAUGGCUUAAAGCAGGCUCCAAGACAAUGGUACAAGAAGUUUGAUCUCUUCAUGACCCAACACAACUUCACAAAGACGUCAACAGACCAUUGUGUGUUUGUGAAGAACUAUGAAAAUGGAGAGUCCAUCAUACUUUUAUUGUAUGUUGAUGAUAUGCUUAUUGUUGGAAAAGAUAAGACAAAGAUAUCUGCUCUCAAGAAAGCAUUGAGCAAAUCUUUUGCUAUGAAGGAUUUGGGUGCAGUGAAGAAGAUUCUUGGAAUGAAGAUCAUUAGAGAUCGAUCAAAAAGAAUGUUGUGGAUGUCACAAGAAGAAUAUCUCAAGAAAGUUCUUGAAAGGUUCAACAUGCAUAAUGCAAAACCUGUGCAUGUUCCAUUACCUGGUCAUUUGAAACUCAGUAAGACACAAUGUCCUGAGAAUGAUCAAGAGAAAGAAGAAAUGAGCAAGGUGCCCUAUUCUUCAGCCGUGGGUAGCCUUAUGUACGCCAUGGUCUGCACGAGGCCAGACAUCGGUUAUGCUGUAGGAGUCGUGAGUAGAUUCCUAUCAAAUCCAGGAAAAGAACACUGGAGUGCUGUGAAAUGGAUACUGAGGUAUCUAAAAGGAACUGCCAAAAAGUGCUUAUGUUUUGGCAAUGGAAAUCAAAUGCUCGUUGGAUAUGUAGAUGCUGAUAUGGCCGGAGAUAUAGAUUCAAGAAAAUCUACAUCUGGAUAUUUGAUUACUUUUGCAGGGGGAGCUGUCUCAUGGCAAUCUCGACUACAAAAGUGCGUUGCUUUAAGUACCACAGAAGCAGAGUACAUCGCAAUCACUGAAGGCUGUAAGGAGAUGAUGUGGAUGAAGAAGUUCCUGCAAGAGUUAGGCCAGAAUCAAGAAAUUUAUGUUCUCUAUUGUGAUAGUCAAAGUGCAAUUCACCUCAGCAAGAAUUCGACAUACCAUUCAAGGUCAAAACACAUCGAUGUGAG
Molecule: long non-coding RNA, 5414 nt
Filed under: Medicago truncatula (barrel medic)
Lineage: Eukaryota; Viridiplantae; Streptophyta; Magnoliopsida; Fabales; Fabaceae
Description: long non-coding RNA (MTRU_LNC003525)
Source: RNAcentral